Molecule: RNA transcript, 1298 nt
Organism: Camelina sativa (false flax)
Lineage: Eukaryota; Viridiplantae; Streptophyta; Magnoliopsida; Brassicales; Brassicaceae
Gene name: protein NONRESPONDING TO OXYLIPINS 2, mitochondrial-like
Source: RefSeq, a predicted model, not a curated record
UGAUGAUGAUGUUAUUGGCAUUUUGGCAGGCAAGUGAAGAGCAGAAUCAAGUGCACAUAAACCCAAGUGGAGGAAACAAAAGAAGCAGUGUGGGCUGAUAUUAGGUUGUUUUUAAUUAUAGAUUUAUGCUCUAAAAAAAAUCAAACUUCGUUGUUGGUUGGAAAAGGAGACGUAAAACGUAGGAGAAGAGAAGGAAAAAAAAAAUGAUGAUGUUAUUUGUAGGUGUGAAUGAUUUGCUUUUGAUUAUUUAUUUAGUCAGUCAGAUGUUCUCUCGCUAGCUCUAUCUCUCAUGACUCGGGUGUGUCUCAUCAGAGAGAGAGAUAAGAAGAAGUUGUACAUGUUGUUUGAUUAUUGUCCCAAGUAUCUCUCUAACUCCAUUUGCCUCUUUCAAUCAACCCUUUUGCUUUUGUCUUCUUGACAUCAUCUGAUACAAUGUCAAGUCCGUUUCUGUAGUAUUAUAUAUGCGAUAAAUGGAUGAAUAAGCUUUUAUGAAUUCACGUAAUCACGCAACAAUAUUUUGGAUUAUUAAAAAAUGGUUCUAAAUUGGGAUUGUUUCGAACAAUAUGAUUCUGCACAUUCUUAAAAGUAAAGUUAUUUUGGUUAGGCUUAAAACCUUAACAAAAACCCGAUCCUUCUUUGGAUCACAUUGGUCGUGGUUUCGUCUGUCUCUGUGUAAUAAUGGCUGCUGCUUGUCGUAAGCUGUUUAACAGAGCUUCUGUCUCUUCUCUCAAAUCUGCCCUCAGAUCCGCCACUGGAUCAUCGUCGCCUGCCUCAUCAGCUGGAUUUCGUAUACCUUCUCAACCCUCUCGCCAUUUCUCAUUCUCCAGGUGUCCAUCAGAACUGGGAUGUGUUCAGUCUUUGUUACCGCUGCACAGCACGGUGGCAGCAGCGAGGUUGACUUCGUGCCUAAGCACAACUUCAAGGAGUAGCCGAGCUCUCUCUCAGGGUACACUUUGCUGCACCUCUCCCGACCUCUAAUGCAUUUUCUCUUUACUUUUCCUUAUGGAGUCGAUGGCACGUGAGAUGUGUUUGCAGUUUGUUUUAAAGAGCUUGGCCUUUCAGUUCCGAGGUGACUCUAAAACCGGCAUGAAGGUUUAAUUCCAUUGAAGGGGCAGGAUUUCAGAAGAGUUGUUUCUUCUUCCCUUUGUCAAAUUUAGAGACACAACAAGUGUCUGUCAUUCUUUUCUGUGACAAAUAAUUACAAAAUCUUAUGUACUUUGAUUUAUGAUGAGAGAAAUGUUAUACAAAUUGUCAGCUUUUGUUGCCUUUUUCAGUAAAUUAGUAGAACUUACUAUGUA